GCCAAUUAUAGCUCUAACAAUCUUCAAAUAAACUAUUUAUACACUUAUAUUUAAAACAUUUUAAUUCCCCUAGUAUAGGAGAUAGAACAGAAACAUAAUGAAGCAAUAACAAUAGUACCGUAAGGGAAAAAAUGAAAGAUAGAUUGAUAGCAUAAAAAAGCAAAGAUUAAACCUUGUACCUUUUGCAUAAUGAUUUAGCCAGUCAACAUAGGCAAAAAGAAUUUAAGCCUAGAACCCCGAAAUUAAGUGAGCUACUAUAGAACAGUUAUUUAUGAACUUACUCCUCUAUGUGGCAAAAUAGUGAGAAGAUUUUAUAGUAGAAGUGAAAAACCUAUCGAACUUAAUGAUAGCUGGUUAUCCAAAAUACGAAUUUUAGUUCAACCUUAAGUUUAACACAAAGCAUACGAUAUCAAAGCAUAUCUUAGACUUAAUAGUUAAUCAAAUGAGGGACAUCUCAUUUGAUAAAGUGGACAAACUUCAUAAGAGGGUAAUGACUUAUUUUAACCCCAUCGUAGGCCUAAGAGCAGCCACCAAUUAAGAAAGCGUUAAAGCUCAAACAUAGAAUUUUAUUCAAUACCCUAAAACUAUCAAAACCCCUAUAACAAUAUUGGAUGAUUCUAUUAAACUAUAGAAGACAUAAUGCUAAAAUCAGUAAUAAGAACUCAUUCUCCUUGCAUAAGCCUAAGUUAGCCAACGGAUUACCCACUAACACCUAACAAAUACAAUAUCUUUAAUUAACAACCAGUGAAUUACCCCAAUAAUUGUUAACCCAACACAGGCAUGCACUACUAAAGGACAGAUUAAAAAGAAUAAAAGGAACUCGGCAAACCAAAACCCCGCCUGUUUACCAAAAACAUCACCUCUAGCAUUUCAAGUAUUAGAGGCACUGCCUGCCCAGUGAAUUAAUUUUAACGGCCGCGGUAUCCUGACCGUGCAAGGUAGCAUAAUCACUUGUCUCCUAAAUAGAGACUUGUAUGAAUGGCAAAACGAGGGUUUAACUGUCUCUUUUUCUCAAUCAAUGAAAUUGACCUACCCGUGCAGAGGCGGGUAUAACUUUAUAAGACGAGAAGACCCUGUGGAGCUUAAAAUUACAACUUAAAUUAAUUUAUACUAUACCCUAAGGGAUUAAUCUUACAAAACUUUUUAAGCUGAAUUUUUGGUUGGGGUGACCUCGGAGCACAAGCAACCCUCCGAAUGACAUAACUAAGACUAACACAUCUAAGUGCAACCUAAGCCAGUAAUUGACCCAAAACUUGAUCAACGGAACAAGUUACCCCAGGGAUAACAGCGCAAUCCUAUUUAAGAGCCCAUAUCGACAAUUAGGGUUUACGACCUCGAUGUUGGAUCAGGACACCCCAAUGGUGCAGCCGCUAUUAAAGGUUCGUUUGUUCAACGAUUAAAGUCCUACGUGAUCUGAGUUCAGACCGGAGAAAUCCAGGUCGGUUUCUAUCUAUAUAAUAAUUUCUCCUAGUACGAAAGGACAAGAGAAUUAAGGCCAACAUUACAAACAAGCCUUACAACUAACUAAUGAUCUUAUCUCAAUUAGUUAAUGCAAGAUUUUAUUACUCUAGAGAAGAGUUA
RNAcentral lists this ribosomal RNA (1581 nucleotides) under Monodelphis domestica (gray short-tailed opossum). RNAcentral describes it as "16S ribosomal RNA". It matches the Rfam family "Bacterial large subunit ribosomal RNA". The record is from RNAcentral. Lineage: Eukaryota; Metazoa; Chordata; Mammalia; Didelphimorphia; Didelphidae.